Daphnia pulex (common water flea) is the source of this 1067-nucleotide long non-coding RNA. RefSeq lists it as uncharacterized. The record is from RefSeq and is a predicted model, not a curated record. NCBI's taxonomy places the organism in Eukaryota, Metazoa, Arthropoda, Branchiopoda, Diplostraca, Daphniidae. The transcript has 4 exons.
ACAUGACAAGGCAUGCUGCCCCAUCCUACUACACCGAGCCUCCCAACUACACCGAGGCUCCUGCUGAUAACUACACCAAAACGGUCGAAUACUACAACGAAGCGGCAAAGUACUUCUCUGCCCCGAGCUACGCAACCAGAACUGAGGCAGCCAAUUAUUACGCAGUCCCGACUUACAACCCAGAAGCUGCUCUUUCGUACUAUGUUGAACAGAAAUACUACACUGAUGCUCCAGUCUACUACACCACGACCUACGCUUCACCUAGCUACAACACCACAGCCGCCAAGUACUACAUACCCGCAAGGCCUUAAGAGGUGGGUCAGGGUGAGAAAAAGUCGUAUAAAAGGAGGGAAAAGGUGAUAAAAAUCAGUCGAGUGAGCGUCUCCAUCACGGCAACAACUGCUGUGCACUAUUUGUCAUUAAACCGCAAUCACGAUUGCUUAAAAGGAGAUAAAAUGCGAAAUAAUUAGUCGAGUGAUUAUCUCCGACUUGACGACAGCUGCCGUGCACUAUUUGUCACCAACUGCAUUCUUCAUUGUAUGAAAUGUGUUUAGUAAACUGUGGCGUCGUUCUGCUGUUGAUUGUUGUCCUGAAAUACUACACCACCGAGGGUUCAGAAUACUACACUGCAACUUAUGCUGCCCAGAGCUGCUUAACCAAAGAUUCUUAGUAGUGCAUCGUGAUUCCAUUCGUUUUAAGCCAUAACCAUUUAGUAUUAAUUUGAUAUUGUUUGUUUUAGACCCAUCCACGGCAACGUCAACCUGCAGAAGGAAGAGGCCAGUUUGCAUUUCCUUCACUUUCGAAGGUCACGGAGAUCAUUACGUAAAACUGUCAAUGCGGUGGUGUAGAGGUUGGGUGAGAACGGGAAGUGUUUGCUUUGCUUUAUUAUCAAGCAAGUAUAAUAGCCGCAGGCCUUAAGAGAGGGGUCAGGGUGAGAAAAAGUUGUAUAAAUGGCAAGAGAAAAAACCACGGAACUCAGUCGAGUGAGCAUCUCCGACACGGUAACAACUGCAGCGCAAUAUGUGUCACCAACUACCUUCUUCAUCGCAUUACCAUUUCGCAAUCAU